Molecule: long non-coding RNA, 489 nt
Filed under: Citrus sinensis (sweet orange)
Lineage: Eukaryota; Viridiplantae; Streptophyta; Magnoliopsida; Sapindales; Rutaceae
Description: long non-coding RNA (CSIN_LNC005263)
Source: RNAcentral
UAAAUAGAAGUCCUCUACCCCGAGGAUCCAUUCAUUUAUGUGGGUCCAAUUAGAUAAAAAUAUAGGUAUAACAAUGUUGAUUCUUAGUUGCCUCCUAGCAAGUAAAAAGCAAUUAACCUCCACCAAUGUUAAUUAUCUAUUCUUAGUCAAUUAAUCCAGUUCUAAGGUCAAUAACUUUCUACUAUAAAAAUCUCACACACAACCUCCUUCACCGCCCAGCUCACAAAAGCCAGCAGCCAAGCCCCAAAACAAAACCUUAAAACUCCACAGCCAUGGCGGCUUCUUCUUCUUCUUCUUCUUCAAUCAAACCCAUCUUCACAACCCGAUCAAAAUCAUCAAACUCAUCAAAAUCAUCCCUCCUCUCUUUCCUCCACAACACAAACCCUAAACCCAUUUCCUUAAAAUUCUCUUCUCAUAAUUCCAAUUAUACCACUCCUCCUUCAUUCACCAUCAGAAACUCGUUACAAACAGCCCUGGAAACAUCAGAGC